RNAcentral lists this ribosomal RNA (460 nucleotides) under uncultured bacterium. RNAcentral describes it as "partial 16S ribosomal RNA". It matches the Rfam family "Bacterial small subunit ribosomal RNA", at positions 338 to 795 of the family's 1533-position model. The record is from RNAcentral.
CCUACGGGGUGCAGCAGUGAGGAAUAUUGGUCAAUGGACGAGAGUCUGAACCAGCCAAGUAGCGUGAAGGAUGACUGCCCUAUGGGUUGUAAACCUCUUUUAUAUGGGAAUAAAACAGGGUAUGCAUACCCUCUUGUAUGUACCAUAUGAAUAAGGAUUGGCUAACUCCGUGCCAGCAGCCGCGGUAAUACGGAGGAUCCGAGCGUUAUCCGGAUUUAAUGGGUUUAAAGGGAGCGUAGGUGGGUUGUGAAGUCAGUUGUGAAAGUUUGCGGCUCAACCGUAAAAUUGCAGUUGAAACUGGCAGUCUUGAGUACAGUAGAGGUGUGCGGAAUUCGUGGUGUAGCGGUGAAAUGCAUAGAUAUCACGAAGAACUCCGAUUGCGAAGGCAGCUCACUGGACUGCAACUGACACUGAUGCACGAAAGUGUGGGUAUCGAACAGGAUUAGAUACCCUUGUAGUC